UCCGGUUUGUCACCGGCAGUCUCCUUAGAGUCCCCAGCUUAACCUGAUGGUAACUAAGAACAAGGGUUGCGCUCGUUACGGGACUUAACCCAACAUUUCACAACACGAGCUGACGACAGCCAUGCAGCACCUGUCUCCACGUUCCUUUCGGCACUCCGAUAUCUCUACCAGAUCCGUGGGAUGUCAAGGGUAGGUAAGGUUCUUCGCGUUGCAUCGAAUUAAACCACAUGCUCCACCGCUUGUGCGGGCCCCCGUCAAUUCAUUUGAGUUUUAACCUUGCGGCCGUACUCCCCAGGCGGAGAACUUAGCGCGUUAGCUACGCCACUAAAACUUCUAAGAGUUCCAACAGCUAGUUCUCAUCGUUUACAGCGUGGACUAC
RNAcentral lists this unclassified non-coding RNA (379 nucleotides) under uncultured Gammaproteobacteria bacterium. Its description in RNAcentral is "contains 16S-23S intergenic spacer region". The record is from RNAcentral. Lineage: Bacteria; Pseudomonadati; Pseudomonadota; Gammaproteobacteria.